GAUGAACGCUGGCGGUAUGCUUAACACAUGCAAGUCGAACGGACUCUUCGGAGUUAGUGGCGGACGGGUGAGUAACGCGUGAGAAUCUGGCUUUGGGUUCGGGACAACCACUGGAAACGGUGGCUAAUACCGGAUGUGCCGAGAGGUAAAAGAGAAAUUGCCUGAAGAUGAGCUCGCGUCUGAUUAGCUAGUUGGUGAGGUAAAGGCUCACCAAGGCAGCGAUCAGUAGCUGGUCUGAGAGGAUGACCAGCCACACUGGGACUGAGACACGGCCCAGACUACUACGGGAGGCAGCAGUGGAGAAUUUUCCGCAAUGGGCGAAAGCCUGACGGAGCAAUACCGCGUGAGGGAAGAAGGCUCUUGGGUUGUAAACCUCUUUUCUUAGGGAAGAACAAAAUGACGGUACCUAAGGAAUCAGCAUCGGCUAACUCCGUG
This 435-nucleotide ribosomal RNA is filed under the name uncultured bacterium. RNAcentral describes it as "partial 16S ribosomal RNA". It matches the Rfam family "Bacterial small subunit ribosomal RNA", at positions 28 to 507 of the family's 1533-position model. The record is from RNAcentral.